RNAcentral lists this ribosomal RNA (484 nucleotides) under uncultured bacterium. Its description in RNAcentral is "partial 16S ribosomal RNA". It matches the Rfam family "Bacterial small subunit ribosomal RNA", at positions 30 to 507 of the family's 1533-position model. The record is from RNAcentral.
AUUGAACGCUGGCGGCAUGCCUAACACAUGCAAGUCGAGCGGAUCAAGGGCGCUUGCUGCUGGACUCAGCGGCGGACGGGUGAGUAAUGCCUAGGAAUCUGCCUGGUAGUGGGGGAUAACGUCCGGAAACGGGCGCUAAUACCGCAUACGUCCUGAGGGAGAAAGUGGGGGAUCUUCGGACCUCACGCUAUCAGAUGAGCCUAGGUCGGAUUAGCUAGUUGGUGGGGUAAAGGCCUACCAAGGCGACGAUCCGUAACUGGUCCGAGAGGAUGAUCAGUCACACGGGAACUGAGACACGGUACCGACUCCGACGGGAGGCAGCGGUGGGGAAUAUUGGGGAAGGGGCGAAAGGCUGAUCCAGGCAUGCCGCGUGAGUGAAGAAGGUCUUCGGAUUGUAAAGCAAUUUAAGCUGGGGGGAAGGGAAGUAAUUUAAUACCUUGCUGUAUUGACGUUACCAACAGAAUAAGCACCGGCUAACUCCGUG